This 253-nucleotide ribosomal RNA is filed under the name uncultured bacterium. Its description in RNAcentral is "partial 16S ribosomal RNA". It matches the Rfam family "Bacterial small subunit ribosomal RNA", at positions 524 to 776 of the family's 1533-position model. The record is from RNAcentral.
UACGAAGGGAGCUAGCGUUGUUCGGAAUCACUGGGCGUAAAGCGCACGUAGGCGGAUGUGUCAGUCAGGGGUGAAAUCCCGGAGCUCAACUUCGGAACUGCCUUUGAUACAGCACGUCUUGAGUCCGAUAGAGGUGGGUGGAAUUCCUAGUGUAGAGGUGAAAUUCGCAGAUAUCAGGAAGAACACCCGUGGCGAAGGCGGCUCUCUGGUACGUGACUGACGCUGAGACGCGAAAGCGUGGGGAGCAAACAGG